This 360-nucleotide long non-coding RNA is filed under the name Trifolium pratense (red clover). RNAcentral describes it as "long non-coding RNA (TPRA_LNC013827)". The record is from RNAcentral. Lineage: Eukaryota; Viridiplantae; Streptophyta; Magnoliopsida; Fabales; Fabaceae.
UGGACCAAAUUGUCUCAAUCAAUUCCCACCUAUUUUUACAUUAUUACUUCACAAUAUAAGUUCAAGUAAACCCGUCCCCUUGCACUCAUAAAUAUUCCUAUCUUCUCACAAUCCCAUCUCACACUAUUAUAACCUAAAGACACUACUCAUCCGUACAACAACAAAAUUUCCACUUUUAAUCAAUCUCAUCCUCUUGUUCCCUUUUCUCCAUCUUUUCCAAAUCUCAUCAAACAUCUAUUAGCUUCUCUUCCUUAACUUUACCUACAUGGAAGAUUUCAUCCUUUCACCUUCUUCAUACUCAUCUAUGAUUUCACUCCCCCAUGAAAACCCUUCACAACAAACACAAACCCUUCAAAAAAA